UGAGGAAUAUUGGACAAUGGGCGAAAGCCUGAUCCAGCCAUGCCGCGUGAGUGACGAAGGCCUUAGGGUUGUAAAGCUCUUUAAGUGGGGAAGAUAGUGACGGUACCCACAGAAUAAGCCCCGGCUAACUUCGUGCCAGCAGCCGCGGUAAUACGAAGGGGGCUAGCGUUAUUCGGAAUCACUGGGCGUAAAGCGCGUGUAGGCGGUUUGGAAAGUCAGAGGUGAAAGCCCGGAGCUUAACUCCGGAAUUGCCUUUGAAACUCUCAAACUUGAAUUUGGUAGAGGAUAGUGGAAUUCCUAGUGUAGAGGUGAAAUUCGUAGAUAUUAGGAGGAACACCAGUGGCGAAGGCGACUGUCUGGGCCAAUAUUGACGCUAAGACGCGAAAGCGUGGGGAGCAAA
Molecule: ribosomal RNA, 400 nt
Filed under: uncultured bacterium
Lineage: Bacteria
Description: bacterial SSU rRNA
Rfam family: Bacterial small subunit ribosomal RNA
Source: RNAcentral